UACGGUUCUGCCAGCUCACCCUGGAGGAGGUUUCUACAGUAUUGCUCGCAUCACAGAUGAGGAGUCCGAGGCUCAGGUUCAGUUCAUGACCGAACCUGUUCACUGCCGAUUUCACAGAAAACAGCCAGUGCCUGGGAUGGAGGGGAAGAAGACAGGAAGAGGGCCACAAUACUGUCCAGGUUUCAUCCAGAGGGAAGAAUCCAAUUUAGCUUUCGGGGCUGAUGUUGUAAUUGGUCAGAGAACCGAGGAUCCUAACUGAGGCUGGAGCCUGGGGGAGGCGGAUGCUCCAGAUUCCAGAGCUUUCCUUGUCCCAUCUGAGUCAUCCUGCCCCCACCUGGGUUGCACGGAUGUCUGGCUGAUGGAAUGGAUGAAUACUCCUUUUGAGGGUACGGAGGGAAGAUUUCUCCAGAGAUCUCCUCUGUUGUAUUGGAUGUCGGUCAGAAGACUAGCAGAGGAGCGGUCACCACUUAAAAUUCCCUUCUUGGGGGGGGAGUACAUC
Lutra lutra (Eurasian river otter) is the source of this 499-nucleotide long non-coding RNA. RefSeq lists it as uncharacterized. The transcript has 4 exons. The record is from RefSeq and is a predicted model, not a curated record. NCBI's taxonomy places the organism in Eukaryota, Metazoa, Chordata, Mammalia, Carnivora, Mustelidae.